GCAAGGCUAAUCUCUUUGUCCGAUGGCAGAUUUUUCUCAGCCACUUCUCUCCCCAAGGGAGGAAAAUAAACGGAUCCACUCGCCGGAAUCCGGCCAAAAAGAAACAAAGGCUGUUUUUGCUCCUGACGCCGAUGACAUCCCUCCGAUCAACAACGCACGUGAUUUCUACAGAGAGUUCUGUGUUGAAUUAAAGAAACUGUGG
This 202-nucleotide unclassified non-coding RNA is filed under the name Hevea brasiliensis (rubber tree). Lineage: Eukaryota; Viridiplantae; Streptophyta; Magnoliopsida; Malpighiales; Euphorbiaceae. The record is from RNAcentral.